This is a long non-coding RNA of Oncorhynchus keta (chum salmon), 537 nucleotides long. RefSeq lists it as uncharacterized. The record is from RefSeq and is a predicted model, not a curated record. NCBI's taxonomy places the organism in Eukaryota, Metazoa, Chordata, Actinopteri, Salmoniformes, Salmonidae. The transcript has 4 exons.
UCCCAGCUCAUGGUGGGUCCCUUUUAAGUCCCAGCUCAUGGUGGGUCCCUUUUAAGUCCCAGCUCAUGGUGGGUCCCUUUUAGGUCCCAGCUCAUGGUGGGUCCCUUUUAGCUCCCAGCUCAUGGUGAGUGUCUUUUAGCUCCCAGCUCAUGGUGAGUGUCUUUUAGGUCCCAGCUCAUGGUGGGUCCCAGCUCAUGGUGGGUCCCUUUUAGGUCCCAGCUCAUGGUGGGUCCCUUUUAGCUCCCAGCUCAUGGUGAGUGUCUUUUAGCUCCCAGCUCAUGGUGAGUGUCUUUUAGGUCCCAGCUCAUGGUGGGUCCCAGCUCAUGGUGGGUCCCUUUUAGGUCCCAGCUCAUGGUGAGUGUCUUUUAGGUUCCAGCUCUUGGUGGGUCCCAGCUCAUGGUGAGUGUCUUUUAGGUCCCAGCUCAUGGUGGGUCCCUUUUUAGGUCCCAGCUCAUGGUGGGUGUCUUUUAGAUCCCAGCUCAUGGUGGGUCCCUUUUAGGUCCCAGCUGUUGUUGCUAGUCAACUUACAGUGGACAC